ACUGGUAUAAUACUAGAUCAAUAAUGUCAUUUUGAUAGUAUUUUGAUGUUUACAGACAGACAACCUGGCAUAGUGGAUUGAGAGCGAGGAUUAGAAUCAGAAAGACCUGGGAUCAAGUUCUACCUCUAACACAUACUGGGCAUGUCAUCCUAGGUGUGGACUGCUACACAAAGAAUUGGAAACAAAAAUAUCUAUAGCUGCUCUUUUUGUGGUGGCAAAGAAUUGGAAACAUCCCCCCGAUUGAGAGUGACGUGAGCAGAACCAGGAGAACACAUUUUACAGUAACGGAAAUAUUGCAUGAUGAUCAACUGGGAAGUACUAAAUUAUCAGCAAAACAAGGUUCCAAGAUAACUCCAAGAGACUCAUGAUAAAAAACAACAAACCCACUAUCCACACCCAGUGAAGGAACUGUUAGAAUCUGUUUCCAGAUCAAAGCACACCA
RNAcentral lists this long non-coding RNA (442 nucleotides) under Monodelphis domestica (gray short-tailed opossum). Its description in RNAcentral is "lncRNA (ENSMODG00000039517.1)". Lineage: Eukaryota; Metazoa; Chordata; Mammalia; Didelphimorphia; Didelphidae. The record is from RNAcentral.